UACUCGACAUCUGCGAUACACUCUACGUGUCCGAGCGAUAGCAUUCAGUAUCCCACCUUGGAAGUACGUUCGCAAGGAUGACACUCAAUGGAAUCGCGCGGGCGUCCGCACAACGCGCUGGAGUAUGUGGUUUAAUUCGACUGACACGCGAGGAACCUUACCUGGGCUAGAAUGCUGGGAGAUCGCUAGUGAAAGCUAGUUUUGUAGCAAUACACUGCCAGUAAGGUGCUGCAUGGCCGUCGUCAGCUCGUGCCGUGAGGUGUUGGGUUAAGUCCCGCAACGACGCGCAUACCCCUAUCUUUAGUUCGCCAACACGGUAAUCGCUGGGAACUCCUAAAGAAACUGCGCGCCGUAUCGGUGUGAGGAAGGAUGGGGAUGAUGUCAGGUCAUCAUGGCCUUUAUGCCCAGGGCUACCCACGUACUACAAUGUGGGGAGACAAAGGGCUGCAACAUAGCGAUAUGAAGCCAAUCCCAAAAACUCCCUCUCAGUUCAGAUUGCAGGCUGCAACUCGCCUGCAUGAAGCUGGAAUCGCUAGUAAUCGUAUAUCAGCAAUGAUACGGUGAAUACGUUCCCGGACAUUGCACUCACCGCCCGU
Molecule: ribosomal RNA, 596 nt
Filed under: uncultured bacterium
Lineage: Bacteria
Description: bacterial SSU rRNA
Rfam family: Bacterial small subunit ribosomal RNA
Source: RNAcentral